RNAcentral lists this transfer RNA (69 nucleotides) under Podarcis lilfordi (Lilford's wall lizard). Its description in RNAcentral is "tRNA.Lys". The record is from RNAcentral. Lineage: Eukaryota; Metazoa; Chordata; Lepidosauria; Squamata; Lacertidae.
GAAUAUCUCAGUCAGUAGAGCAUGAGACUCUUAAUCUUAGGGUUGUGGGUUUGAGCCCAACAGGCAAUA